This 1000-nucleotide ribosomal RNA is filed under the name human gut metagenome. RNAcentral describes it as "bacterial LSU rRNA". It matches the Rfam family "Bacterial large subunit ribosomal RNA", at positions 1922 to 2925 of the family's 2925-position model. The record is from RNAcentral.
AGUAAACGGCGGCCGUAACUAUAACGGUCCUAAGGUAGCGAAAUUCCUUGUCGGGCAAGUUCCGACCCGCACGAAAGGCGUAACGAUUUGGGCGCUGUCUCAGCUGUAGACUCGGUGAAGUCUUAGUACCUGUGAAGAUGCAGGUUGCCCGCGACUAGACGGAAAGACCCCAUGGAGCUUCACUGCAGGUUGACAUUGGGCUUGGAUGCAUGAUGUACAGGAUAGGUGGGAGGCUGUGAGCCGUGCGCGCCAGCGUACGGGGAGCCGCUGUUGGGAUACCACCCUUCAUGCAUCUAGGUCCUAACCGGAGGCAACGGGCCACGGGACAGUGUCAGUCGGGCAGUUUGACUGGGGCGGUCGCCUCCCAAAGAGUAACGGAGGCGCCCAAAGAUACCCUCAGCAUGGAUGGAAACCAUGCAUAGAGUGCAAAGGCAUAAGGGUGUCUGACUGCGAGACAUACAGGUCGAGCAGGGACGAAAGUCGGGCUUAGUGAUCCGGCGGAUCCGAAUGGAAGGGCCGUCGCUCAACGGAUAAAAGCUACCCUGGGGAUAACAGGCUGAUCUCCCCCAAGAGUUCACAUCGACGGGGAGGUUUGGCACCUCGAUGUCGGCUCAUCGCAUCCUGGAGCUGAAGUCGGUUCCAAGGGUUGGGCUGUUCGCCCAUUAAAGCGGUACGCGAGCUGGGUUCAGAACGUCGUGAGACAGUUCGGUCCCUAUCUGUCGUGGGCGCAGGAAAUUUGAGAAGAGCUGUCCUCAGUACGAGAGGACCGGGAUGGACGCAUCAAUGGUGGACCAGUUGUCACGCCAGUGGCAUAGCUGGGUAGCUAAAUGCGGAAGGGAUAAACGCUGAAGGCAUCUAAGUGUGAAACCCACUUCAAGAUGAGAUUUCCCAUUGCGCAAGCAAGUAAGACCCCUUAAAGACGAUAAGGUAGAUAGGUCAGGAGUGUAAGCAUGGUGACAUGUUAAGCGGACUGAUACUAAUAGGUCGAGGGCUUGACCGA